Molecule: ribosomal RNA, 450 nt
Filed under: uncultured bacterium
Lineage: Bacteria
Description: partial 16S ribosomal RNA
Rfam family: Bacterial small subunit ribosomal RNA
Source: RNAcentral
CCUACGGGUGGCUGCAGUAAGGAAUAUUGGUCAAUGGACGAAAGUCUGAACCAGCCAUGCCGCGUGAAGGAUGAAGGUCCUCUGGAUUGUAAACUUCUUUUAUCGGGGACGAAAAAAGGGAAUUCUUUCUCACUUGACGGUACCAGAAGAAUAAGCACCGGCUAACUCCGUGCCAGCAGCCGCGGUAAUACGGAGGGUGCAAGCGUCACUGGGAUUCACUGGGGCGUAGGGGGGCGUAGGAGGGCGGGGAGAAAUCUCCGGGCUUAACCCGGAAACUGCCAUUGAUACUAUCUGUCUUGAAUACUCUGGAGGUAAGCGGAAUAUGUCAUGUAGCGGUGAAAUGCUUAGAUAUGACAUAGAACACCGAUUGCGAAGGCAGCUUACUACGGAGUCAUUGACACUGAGGCACGAAAGCGUGGGGAUCAAACAGGAUUAGAUACCCCGGUAGUC